This 406-nucleotide ribosomal RNA is filed under the name uncultured bacterium. RNAcentral describes it as "partial 16S ribosomal RNA". It matches the Rfam family "Bacterial small subunit ribosomal RNA", at positions 30 to 526 of the family's 1533-position model. The record is from RNAcentral.
AUUGAACGCUGGCGGCAGGCCUAACACAUGCAAGUCGAACGAGUGGCGGACGGGUGAGUAAUGUCUGGGAAACUGCCUGAUGGAGGGGGAUCACUACUGGAAACGGUAGCUAAUACCGCAUACCAUCAGAUGUGCCCAGAUGGGAUUAGCUAGUUGGUGGGGUAACGGCUCACCAAGGCGACGCUCCCGAGCUGGUCUGAGAGGAUGACCAGCCACACUGGAACUGAGACACGGUCCAGACUCCUACGGGAGGCAGCAGUGGGGAAUAUUGGACAAUGGGCGCAAGCCUGAUACAGCCAGGCCGCGUGUAUGAAGAAGGCCUUCGGGUUGUAAAGUACUUUCAGCGGGGAGGCGGUACCCGCAGAAGAAGCACCGGCUAACUCCGUGCCAGCAGCCGCGGUAAUUC